CGUCAACAUCUAAGUCAAUUUCUUUUUUUCGACAAAUUCAGUUUUAACCGAGUUCCAUGGACAGUUUACCACAGGAAAAGUGUCAUGGCUAGCUGCAGACGUACCAUCAUCAGAUGAAGUCCACCUCUCCAUCAGAAGUCGAUACAUGAAGCCCACCAUCAAGAUUAAAACUGAGGAUUGAAACAGGCUAGACUUGUAUAGACACGUCAUUGCCAGAUGAAGUGUACCUCACUAGGUAGUAGAUGUAAUAUGUAUGAUGGGCAUGCUGCCUUGUGUCAAACUACAACGAUGUAUUCUCCAGCAACAGGCUAGCUGCAGACACACCAUCAUCAGAUGAAGUCUACCUCCAUCGGAAGUAGAUGCAUGAAGCCCACCAUCAAGAUUCGAGGAUGUCUUCAUCAACAGGCUAGGUUUGUACAGACACACCAUUGUCAGAUGAAGUCUACCUCUCCAGAAGUAGAUGUAAUAUGUAUGAUGGGCAUGCUGCCUUGUGUGUCAAGGUACAAUGAUGUAUUCUCCAGCAACAGGCUAGCUGCGAACAUACUUAUGUCAAAUGAAGUCUACCUCUCCAGAAGUAGAUACAUGAAUCCUACCAUCAAGGUUCAAGGAUGUCUUCAUCAACAGUUAGACUUGCUCAAGAGAUGACGAUGUCAGAGGAAGUCUACCUCUCCAAAAGUACAUGCAUGAUGCAAAUGCUGCCCUGUGACAGAUGUGGUCUGCGCCCUAUGUCUACCUCAUCAACGGCGAGGGUUGUCAUCUCCAGAGAGAUCUACUCAUCAACCAAGUAGAUGUCCGAGCCCUGCAGUUGAUAAACUUCUUAACAGUUUACAAUGACUCUGCUCUAGUUUAUAAAAGAUAUUUCUACCUGUUCCAAAAAGCAUUUUCCUGAGAUCUGCAAGUGCCUACCAUUGGCCAUCGUCUAACACAACUGUGUGAAGCUAAAAAAAGCAUGAGAAAGCUGAUAUGCUACAACCAAGUUUGUAGCAAAUAACUUUCCCUCCAAUCAUGAAGGCUUCAGAAUUCGAGGUGAGCAACUCUCUUUAAGGCAUUCUACACAAGUAGUCAUGGAUGAACAACCAACCAACUUGAUGAUUUCAUUUGUAGAAUUGUAGAAAUGUUAAAUAAUAGAGAGGUUUCGCAAGUGUACGGAUACAGAUACAAUGAUACGUCAACACUUUGUGUGUUCACAUGAGGCGUAUACGCAACUAUCAUGUUUUGCACAAACGUUAGCAAUGGAUAAGGGAGCUCGUACACGUCGUAGAAAAACAGAUACUGUUUUGCAGACUUUUAGUUUUCUUUUUGUCCCAGAUCGAAAACGUUUCCCAUGGAAUUGCUUUCACUGGUAUCGUGCUUGACAUAGAUAGACAUUUUUUGGUCAUUUGCAAGCAAAGCAAUGAGAAAAUGUGUAUAAAUCGGUUAUGUUCGUCAGAAAAACACUAAUGAUGAAUGCGAGCGCACUCAAGUGAAACAUACCUAGUUUGCUAAACAAAAUCCAACACGCGGCUGUCGUGAACUAAUACAUAUCCGUAUCUGUAUCCGCAUGCUUGCGAAGCCUCUCUAAUGAUGACAAGUAUAACCCUGAUGCAAUUUUACUUCUACAUGAAUGUUAUUGUUAAAAGUAAGUGCACCAUUUGCAAUCAAGCAAACAAAAGCACUGAUGGUGCAAUGGUACGAUUAGUGAUGGCGUUGUGCUGGUUCAAGGAAUAGUGUUGUGAGGGUUUGAUAAAAUGUUGGUGCAAGGUCCCUGCUUAAGACUUAUCUUGCCAGGAUAUAAUUUUUAUCCAGAUUGAACUGCUUGCAGGGUACACUUAUUUUAUUAAAAAAUUAAAUCUUAAAGGGAAGUUACACGUUUGGUAAUUACUCAAAAC
Asterias rubens (European starfish) is the source of this 1868-nucleotide long non-coding RNA. RefSeq lists it as uncharacterized. The record is from RefSeq and is a predicted model, not a curated record. The transcript has 10 exons. Lineage: Eukaryota; Metazoa; Echinodermata; Asteroidea; Forcipulatida; Asteriidae.